RNAcentral lists this ribosomal RNA (499 nucleotides) under uncultured bacterium. Its description in RNAcentral is "partial 16S ribosomal RNA". It matches the Rfam family "Bacterial small subunit ribosomal RNA", at positions 28 to 507 of the family's 1533-position model. The record is from RNAcentral.
GACGAACGCUGGCGGCGUGCCUAAUACAUGCAAGUCGAGCGAAGUUUUUCUGGUGCUUGCACCGGAAAAACUUAGCGGCGAACGGGUGAGUAACACGUAAAGAACCUGCCUCAUAGACUGGGACAACUAUUGGAAACGAUAGCUAAUACCGGAUAAUAGCAUUAACUGCAUGGUUGAUGUUUAAAAGUUGGUUUUGCUAACACUAUGAGAUGGCUUUGCGGUGCAUUAGCUAGUUGGUGGGGUAAAGGCCUACCAAGGCGACGAUGCAUAGCCGACCUGAGAGGGUGAUCGGCCACACUGGGACUGAGACACGGCCCAGACUCCUACGGGAGGCAGCAGUAGGGAAUCUUCCGCAAUGGGCGAAAGCCUGACGGAGCAACGCCGCGUGAGUGAAGAAGGAUUUCGGUUCGUAAAGCUCUGUUGUUAGGGAAGAAUGAUUGUGUAGUAACUAUACACAGUGGAGACGGUACCUAACCAGAAAGCCACGGCUAACUACGUG